CGGCGCUUCGGCCUGGGCCGGAUGGGUGAAGCCGCGAAUCGCCUCGAUCAGGCUGUCGGCCGGUUUGAUCGGUUGUUCGGCACGGGCGGCGUCGA
RNAcentral lists this transfer RNA (95 nucleotides) under Pseudomonas chlororaphis. Its description in RNAcentral is "tRNA-???(cgaa)". Lineage: Bacteria; Pseudomonadati; Pseudomonadota; Gammaproteobacteria; Pseudomonadales; Pseudomonadaceae. The record is from RNAcentral.